CCAGCAGCCGCGGUAAUACGGAGGGUGCGAGCGUUAAUCGGAAUUACUGGGCGUAAAAGCGCAUGCAGGUGGUUUGUUAAGUCAGAUGUGAAAGCCCGGGGCUCAACCUCGGAAUUGCAUUUGAAACUGGCAAACUAGAGUACUGUAGAGGGGGUAGAAUUUCAGGUGUAGCGGUGAAAAUGCGUAGAGAUCUGAAGGAAUACCGGUGGCGAAGGCGGCCCCCUGGACAGAUACUGACACUCAGAUGCGAAAGCGUGGGGAGCAAACAGGAUUAGAUACCCUGGUAA
RNAcentral lists this ribosomal RNA (287 nucleotides) under uncultured bacterium. RNAcentral describes it as "partial 16S ribosomal RNA". It matches the Rfam family "Bacterial small subunit ribosomal RNA", at positions 508 to 793 of the family's 1533-position model. The record is from RNAcentral.